Molecule: transfer RNA, 71 nt
Filed under: Oscillospiraceae bacterium Marseille-Q3528
Lineage: Bacteria; Bacillati; Bacillota; Clostridia; Eubacteriales; Oscillospiraceae
Rfam family: tRNA
About the family: Transfer RNA (tRNA) molecules are approximately 80 nucleotides in length.
Source: Rfam by way of RNAcentral
UGGGCUUUAGCCAAGCGGUAAGGCACAGGACUUUGACUCCUGCAGCGCCGGUUCGAAUCCGGCAAGCUCAG